AUUUAACAUUGCAACUAGACAUGAAAAAUAUUUUCAUGAAAACUAUUUUCCUUAUACAAGUUAUUAGGCUUAAUAUGUAAACUUUGUCGGAGCACCAUCAACCCAAAUAGUCAAGACAGUUCUAUUGUAGUCAAAACAAAAUAAAAACUAAUAACAUUGCACGUACCCAGCACAUUGUCCGAAUAAAAAAUUGUGCAGUUCCCAUUUCAGAAACUGUAUGAGAAUGACUUUGGAAAAAU
Molecule: unclassified non-coding RNA, 239 nt
Filed under: Hevea brasiliensis (rubber tree)
Lineage: Eukaryota; Viridiplantae; Streptophyta; Magnoliopsida; Malpighiales; Euphorbiaceae
Source: RNAcentral